Molecule: transfer RNA, 69 nt
Filed under: Loxodonta africana (African savanna elephant)
Lineage: Eukaryota; Metazoa; Chordata; Mammalia; Proboscidea; Elephantidae
Rfam family: tRNA
About the family: Transfer RNA (tRNA) molecules are approximately 80 nucleotides in length. Their secondary structure includes four short double-helical elements and three loops (D, anti-codon, and T loops).
Source: Rfam by way of RNAcentral
AGUGGUGGUUCAGUGUUAGAAUUCUCACCUUUCAUGUGGGAGACCUGGGUUUGAUUCCCAGCCAACCUA